GCCCGCGUGGCGAAAUGGAUAUCGCGUCAGACUUCUAUUCUUUAAUGGAACCAUCUGAAGACUGCGGGUUCGACCCCCGCCGUGGGUU
Molecule: non-coding RNA, 88 nt
Organism: Tulasnella sp. 419
Lineage: Eukaryota; Fungi; Basidiomycota; Agaricomycetes; Cantharellales; Tulasnellaceae
Source: the annotation of a GenBank genome assembly